Molecule: ribosomal RNA, 1608 nt
Filed under: Corynebacterium sp. HMSC035E02
Lineage: Bacteria; Bacillati; Actinomycetota; Actinomycetes; Mycobacteriales; Corynebacteriaceae
Description: bacterial LSU rRNA
Rfam family: Bacterial large subunit ribosomal RNA
Source: RNAcentral
GUUGUUGGGUUGCCCGAGUAGCAGCGGGCUCGUGGAAUCUGCUGUGAAUCUGCCGGGACCACCCGGUAAGCCUAAAUACUCAGUGUGACCGAUAGUGUAUUAGUACCGUGAGGGAAUGGUGAAAAGUACCCCGGGAGGGGAGUGAAAUAGUUCCUGAAACCAUGUGCUUACAAUCCGUCAGAGCACUUUUUUGUGUGUGAUGGCGUGCCUUUUGAAGAAUGAGCCUGCGAGUCAGCGGCAUGUCGCGAGGUUAACCCGUGUGGGGUAGCCGUAGGGAAACCGAAUCCUAAUGGGGUGUUUGAGUGGCAUGUCCUGGACCCGAAGCGGGGUGAUCUACCCAUGGCCAGUGUGAAGCAGUAGUAAGAUGCUGUGGAGGCGCGAACCCACGUAGGUUGAAAACUGCGGGGAUGAGUUGUGGGUAGGGGUGAAAGGCCAAUCAAACUCCGUGAUAGCUGGUUCUCCCCGAAAUGCAUUUAGGUGCAGCGUCGCAUUAGCUUGGUGGAGGUAGAGCUACUGGUUGGUUGAGCGGGACUACAAUCUUAGCAAUGUCAGCCAAACUCCGAAUGCCAUCAAUUGUGUUGUGCGGCAGUGAGACUGUGGGGGAUAAGCUUCAUAGUCGAGAGGGAAACAGCCCAGAUCGCCGGUUAAGGCCCCUAAGGGUGUGCUAAGUGGAAAAGGAUGUGGGAUCGCGAAGACAGCCAGGAGGUUGGCUUAGAAGCAGCCAUCCUUGAAAGAGUGCGUAAUAGCUCACUGGUCGAGUGGUCCUGCGCCGACAAUGUAGUGGGGCUCAAGCACACCGCCGAAGCCGCGGCAAACUUUUUGUUUGGGUAGGGGAGCGUCGUGCAUGUGUUGAAGCGUUACCGUAAGGAGGCGUGGAGUGUGUGCGAGUGAGAAUGCAGGCAUGAGUAACGAAUUGGAAGGUGAGAAUCCUUCCCGCCGGAUGACUAAGGGUUCCUGGGUCAAGUUCGUCUUCCCAGGGUGAGUCGGGACCUAAGGCGAGGCCGACAGGCGUAGUCGAUGGACAACCAGUUGAUAUUCUGGUACCCGUAUAUCCGCGCCCAUGAUAAAGCACUGAUACUAACCACCGCGGAUACGACUUAUGUGUUCUUUGAACAUGUUGGUUGUUGAUGUCGUGGGGCCUGAUGUGUGGUUCAAGUGAUGGGGUGACACAGUGUAGUAGCCAUGCCGCUUAGUGGAUUGUUGGUGUAAGCGUGUGAGGUGGUGUGUAGGCAAAUCCGCACACCGUAUGCCUGAGGCGUGAUGCGUAGCCCAAUUGGGGUGAAGUUGGUGAUCUAGUACUGUCGAGAAAAGCCUCUAGCGAUGUGGAUGUAUGGCCCGUACCCUAAACCGACACAGGUGGUCAGGUUGAAAAUACUAAGGCGUUCGGGUGAACUGUGGUUAAGGAACUCGGCAAAAUGCCCCCGUAACUUCGGGAGAAGGGGGACCACACGACUUAAGCCAGCCUUUGCGUUGGUGGUGGGUUGUGGGGUCGCAGAGAAUAGAGGGAAGCGACUGUUUAUCAAAAACACAGGUCCAUGCGAAGACGUUAAGUUGAUGUAUAUGGACUGACGCCUGCCCGGUGCUGGAAGGUUAAGAGGACCGGUUAGU